Long non-coding RNA from Aricia agestis (brown argus), 65 nucleotides. RefSeq lists it as uncharacterized. The transcript has 4 exons. Lineage: Eukaryota; Metazoa; Arthropoda; Insecta; Lepidoptera; Lycaenidae. The record is from RefSeq and is a predicted model, not a curated record.
ACGUCAAACGACAGAUUUUUGGAGUUUAGACCAAUAAAACCUGUUUUAUAUUUAACAAAAUUGCG